This 74-nucleotide transfer RNA is filed under the name Araneus ventricosus. It matches the Rfam family "tRNA". From Rfam's summary of the family: Transfer RNA (tRNA) molecules are approximately 80 nucleotides in length. Their secondary structure includes four short double-helical elements and three loops (D, anti-codon, and T loops). Lineage: Eukaryota; Metazoa; Arthropoda; Arachnida; Araneae; Araneidae. The record is from Rfam by way of RNAcentral.
GCGUCGGUGGUAUAACGGUUAGCAUAGCUGCCUUCCAAGCAGCUGUUGACCCGGGUUCGACUCCGCCCGACGCA